GAAAAUCCCGAUUACACAGAUCUGUGUAAAAAAAUUACACAGUUUGUUGAACAUGUUCUAGCUGUCAAAACUGUGUAGAUUUAUAACACAGAUCUGUGUUAAAAAUUACACAGAUUUCCGUUCAGCUUUCCUUUCAAACCUGGGUAAAAAAUGUAAAAAAGCUAAGAUGGCGUCUUUCAUGCAGAACUUUGAUUUUUAACAUGCUGAUUAUCAAUUGGACUGUAUACCCACAGAAAGCAGUUGGAUUCAUGAGUUUGUUUGGUGUCCCACAUAUAUUCUCACGGAAAGGAAAGGCUGGUGCUAGGUCGGAACCUCGAGUAUCCAGAGUUGAACACCAGAGCACAAGCCCGCGCUUACAAUUUCCCGGUUCCGGUUCCAGGCGGGAUCUUCCAGAGGCAGCACGAGUUAACACUGCGUCGCGUCCAAGUGUUCCAGCUUUUUCGAUAUUUAUUUAAUAUUGUUUU
Culex pipiens pallens (northern house mosquito) is the source of this 464-nucleotide long non-coding RNA. RefSeq lists it as uncharacterized. The transcript has 3 exons. The record is from RefSeq and is a predicted model, not a curated record. Lineage: Eukaryota; Metazoa; Arthropoda; Insecta; Diptera; Culicidae.